RNAcentral lists this ribosomal RNA (3177 nucleotides) under Candidatus Falkowiibacteriota bacterium. Its description in RNAcentral is "23S ribosomal RNA". It matches the Rfam family "Bacterial large subunit ribosomal RNA". The record is from RNAcentral. Lineage: Bacteria; Candidatus Falkowiibacteriota.
GGUUAGAUAUAAGGGCGUAUGGUGGAUGCCUAGACACUAAAAAACGAUGAAGGACGUAGUAGCCUGCGAUAAGCUUCGGGGAGGUGGCAAGCAACCUUUGAUCCGGAGAUUUCCGAAUGGGGUAACCCGGUCCGAUUGAAGAUCGGAUCAUCGCUAUCUGAAUUCAUAGGGUAGCGAAGGCAACCCGGUGAAGUGAAACAUCUCAGUAACCGGAGGAAAAGAAACAAAGACUAGUUUUUAAGUUUAUAAGUUUCGUUCCGUUUUGCGGAACUUAAGUUGGUCGGUAUUUAUUUACUGGCUGAUGAACUUAUAAACUUAUUAACUAGCCCAUUCCCCAAGUAGUGGCGAGCGAACGGGGAAAAGUCGAAAACCUUGUUAGUGUUUUAGCGGAUGGUCGGGGGGUCGCAAGACUUCUCGGCCGCUGCUAAUUAAAGGUUUGGGCCGUUGCUAACAAGGAUACGCGAGUCAGUCGCGUUGUCUUCCCAAUAAGACAGGCAAGGGAAAAGCCCGAGCAAUCGGGACAGCUUUCCUAGAAGAACUCCUGUGGAAACAGGGACCAGAGAAGGUGAAAGUCCUGUACUCAAAAGGAGCUGUAAUCUUGCUGUGAUUGACUUAAGUACCACGGGCCUCGUGAAAUCCCGUGGGAAUCCGGCACGACUAUGUGCCAAGACUAAAUAUUUUUUAGUGAUCGAUAGUGAACUAGUACCGUGAGGGAAAGGUGAAAAGCAGGCCGGUUAGGCCGAUGAAAAGUACCUGAAACCAUACGCUUACAAGGAGUUGCGGCCCGCAAGGGUUGCAGCGUUCCUAUUGAAGAAUGAGCCAACGAGUUUGCUGUGCGUGGCUUGGUUAAUCUCCCAUGGAGAGGAAGCCGAAGUGAAAGCGAGCCUUAAUAGGGCGUUUGUCGCGCACACGAGACCCGAAACCGGGUGAGCUAGCCAUGACCAGGGUGAAGGUCCGAGAAAUCGGACUGGAGGCCCGAACCCACAUGCUGUGCAACACAUGGGGAUGAGUUGUGGCUAGAGGUGAAAUUCCAAUCGAACUCGGUAAUAGCUGGUUCUCCCCGAAAUAGCUGUAGGGCUAGCCUCGGAUAUACAAUAUAGGGGUAGAGCACUGAAUGGUUCAAUUCGGCGAAAGUCGAUUGCACCAAUCAAACUCCGAAUACUAUGUUUUUAGUCCGGGAGUCAGACUGUGAGGGCUAAGCUUCACUAGUCAAAAGGGAAACAGCCCAGAUCGUCGCUUAAGGUCCCUAAAUCCGAAUUAAGUGUUAAAGGUGGUGGAAAGACUCAAACAACUAGGAGGUUGGCUUAGAAGCAGCCAUCCUUUAAAGAAAGCGUAACAGCUCACUAGUCGAGUUUUUCUGCGUCGAAAAUAAUCGGGACUAAAUUCGGUACCGAAGGCACGGGUUCUCCGAUUUAUCGGAGAGCGGUAGGGGAGCUUUCUCAAGUCAGCGAAGUCGUAUCCGUAAGGAGCGGUGGAGGCUUGAGAAGUGAGAAUGUUGGCAUAAGUAACAAAAACUCUGAUGAAAACUCAGAGCACCGAUAGUCUAAGGUUUCCUGGGCAACGCAAAUCGACCCAGGGUUAGUCGAUCCUAAGGCGAGGCCGAAAGGCGUAGCCGAUGGAAGAGCAGGUUAAUAUUCCUGCACCUCCGUAUUUUUGUCCGUAAGUGCGCUUCUAUGUGGUAAGAGAGCGAUUUGGUUAUGCGCUUGGGCCGUUCCGAUUUAUCGUGGACGGUUCGCAGGUGAAGCCGCAAGGUGGAGCCGAUUCUUGCAAAGUAGGGGCCUAGAAAAUCUUAUGGGCGCUAAAGAUACGGAGACCGUACCGUAAACCGACACAGGUGGACAAGGCGGGAAGCCUAAGGUGUACGAGAGAACCCUCGUUUAGGAACUAAGCAAAAAAACUAGGCGUAACUUCGGGAUAAGCCUUGCCCCCCACAUAACUUUCGAGAAAAGAAAAGAGAAAGUGUGAAAUUUAUAGUGUUUCCGGAAUAAAUCGCGGAAAAAUCUUUCAAAGAUUUGGCAAGUAUCUUAAUACUUGCAUCGAAAGUUAUGUGGGGGGUUGCAAUAAAAAUAUCUCAAGUGACUGUUUACCAAAAACACAGGUCCCUGCAAAGCCGUAAGGCAACGUAUAGGGGCUGAUGCCUGGCCAGUGUCAGAACGUUAAGGGGAGAGGUCAUCCGUCGCAAGACGGGGCAGCCUUGAACUUAAGCGCUGAUGAACGCCGGCGAUAACUAUAAUCGUCCUAAGGUAGCGAAAUCCCUUGUCGGGUGAGUUCCGACCCGCACGAAUGGCAUAACAACUUGAGAACUGUCUUAACGAGGGACUCGGUGAAAUUGCAAGAGGGGUGAAGAUGCCCUUUACCCACGGCUAGACGAAAAGACCCCGUGAAGCUUUACUACAACUUGAUAUUGGAUUAAGACUAAACAUGUUCAGCGUAGGUGGGAGCCGCAAGGCGCCAAUGAGACACCACCCUUGUUUAAUUUUAAUUCUAAUCCGAGACCGUAAUCCGGUUUGGGAGACAGUGUCUGGUGGGUAGUUUAACUGGGGCGGUUGCCUCCUAAAAAGUAACGGAGGCGUUUACAAAGGUUGGCUUAGCCCGGAUGGAAACCGGGCUGGACGCGUAAAGGCACAAGCCAGCUUUACUCAAAGACUUACAAGUCGCUGAGUUGCGAAAGCAUAACUUAGUGAUCCGACGAUCCAAUAUAGGAUGGUCGAAGCUCAACGGAUAAAAGCUACUCCGGGGAUAACAGGCUGAUCUCCCCCAAGAGUCCAUAUCGACGGGGAGGUUUGGCACCUCGAUGUCGGCUCAUCGCAUCCUGGGGCUGGAGAAGGUCCCAAGGGUUUGGCUGUUCGCCAAUUAAAGCGGUACGCGAGCUGGGUUCAGAACGUCGUGAGACAGUUCGGUCUCCUAUCUGUCGUGGGCGCGGAAAUUUGAGAAAACUCUUCCCUAGUACGAGAGGACCGGGAAGGACGAACCUCUAGUGUACCAGUUGUCCUACCAAGGGCAUAGCUGGGUAGCUACGUUCGGCAACGGAUAAGCGCUGAAAGCAUCUAAGCGCGAAGCCGGUUUCAAGAUUAAAUUUCGUUUAGACCCCUUGAAGAACACAAGGUUGAUAGGCGGCAGGUGUAAGGUCCGUAAGGAUUUGAGCCGAGCCGUACUAAUAGGUCGAUUCUAACCACA